This 447-nucleotide ribosomal RNA is filed under the name uncultured bacterium. Its description in RNAcentral is "bacterial SSU rRNA". It matches the Rfam family "Bacterial small subunit ribosomal RNA", at positions 355 to 825 of the family's 1533-position model. The record is from RNAcentral.
UCGGGAAUUUUGGGCAAUGGGCGAAAGCCUGACCCAGCAACGCCGCGUGAAGGAUGAAGUAUUUCGGUAUGUAAACUUCGAAAGAAUAGGAAGAAUAAAUGACGGUACUAUUUAUAAGGUCCGGCUAACUACGUGCCAGCAGCCGCGGUAAUACGUAGGGACCAAGCGUUGUUCGGAUUUACUGGGCGUAAAGGGCGCGUAGGCGGCAAUUCAAGUCAUCUGUGAAAUCUCCGGGCUCAACUCGGAACGGUCAGAUGAUACUGCUUUGCUAGAGUGCAGAAGGGGCAAUCGGAAUUCUUGGUGUAGCGGUGAAAUGCGUAGAUAUCAAGAGGAACACCUGAGGUGAAGACGGGUUGCUGGGCUGACACUGACGCUGAGGCGCGAAAGCCAGGGGAGCAAACGGGAUUAGAUACCCUCGUAGUCCCUGAGCGGGCUGGCAAGGCGCAU